AGUGAACGCUGGCGGCGUGCUUAACACAUGCAAGUCGAACGAGAACGGGUUAUAGCUUGCUGUAAUUGUCAGCUAAGUGGCGCACGGGUGAGUAAUGUGUAGGUAAUAUGCCUCUUACUAAGGGAUAACAAAUGGAAACGUUUGCUAAUACCUUAUACUCCUUAUUAACAGAAGUUAAUAAGGGAAAGAUUUAUUGGUAAGAGAUUAGCCUGUAUUGUAUCAGUUAGUUGGUGGGGUAAUGGCUUACCAAGACUAUGACACAUAACUGGUUUGAGAGGAUGAUCAGUCACACUGGGACUGAGACACGGUCCAGACUCCUACGGGAGGCAGCAGUGGGGAAUAUUGCACAAUGGACGAAAGUCUGAUGCAGCAACGCCGCGUGGAGGAUGACACAUUUCGGUGCGUAAACUCCUUUUAUAUGAGAAGAUAAUGACGGUAUUAUAUGAAUAAGCACCGGCUAACUCCGUGCCAGCAGCCGCCGUAA
This 484-nucleotide ribosomal RNA is filed under the name uncultured bacterium. RNAcentral's name for it is "partial 16S ribosomal RNA". It matches the Rfam family "Bacterial small subunit ribosomal RNA", at positions 29 to 523 of the family's 1533-position model. The record is from RNAcentral.